Molecule: ribosomal RNA, 1372 nt
Filed under: metagenome
Description: SSU rRNA
Rfam family: Eukaryotic small subunit ribosomal RNA
Source: RNAcentral
UUUCUAGUCCGGCAAUUGGAAUGGGAGUAAUUUAAACCAAUUCUCGAGGAGCCAUUGGAGGGCAAGUCUGGUGCCAGCAGCCGCGGUAAUUCCAGCUCCAAUAGCGUAUAUUAAAGUUGUUGCAGUUAAAAAGCUCGUAGUCUGACUUUUUCGGCUGGCGGUUUUCAGCGCGUCCGGUUUUUUCAUUAAGAUCGUUGCACGUGCGCCGCCUGGUCGAACGAGGGCACCUCUUCCCCCCUUCACCGGGGGCGGGGGGGUGUUUUUGUACUUUGGAGGAACGCUUACCGUGCUUUUAAUUAAGUGCGCGCGGGAUUCCGAUAGUUUACUUUGAGAAAAACAGAGUGUUCAAAGCAGGCGUUUAUUGCCUUUGAAUACAUUAGCAUGGGAUAAUGGAAUAGGACAUUGGUUCUAUUUUCUGAUUUGGUUCGGGGACCGAUGUAAUGAUUAAUAGGGACAGUUGGGGGCAUUCAUAUUCCAUGGCUAGAGGUGAAAUUCUUGGAUUCAUGGAAGAUGAACUGCUGCGAAAGCAUUUGUCAAAGAUGUUUUCAUUGAUCAAGAACGAAAGUUAGGGGAGCAAAGACGAUCAGAUACCGUCGUAGUCUUAACCAUAAACGACGCCGACUAGGGAUCGGUGAGAGUUAGUUUUGAUGACUUCAUCGGCACCUCAUGGGAAACCAAAGUCUUUGGGUUCCGGGGGGAGUAUGGUCGCAAGGCUGAAACUUAAAGGAAUUGACGGAAGGGCACCACCAGGAGUGGAGCCUGCGGCUUAAUUUGACCCAACACGGGAAAACUCACCAGGUCCAGACAUAGUAAGGACUGACAGAUUGAGAGCUCUUUCUUGAUUCUAUGAAAGGUGGCGCAUGGCCGUUCUUAGUUGGUGGAGUGAUUUGUCUGAUUAAUUUCGAUAACGAACGAGACCUUAACCUGCUAACUAGUCACGGCAAGUUUUUUACAAAGCUUGCCGGUUUUUUUGACUUCUUAGAGGGACAAUCUGUUUCCAGCAGAAGGAAGUGUGAGGCAAUAACAGGUCUGUGAUGCCCUUAGAUGUCCUGGGCUGCACGCGCGCUACACUGACUGGCUCAACAAGUUUAUCACCUUGGCAGAGAUGUCUGGGUAAUCUUUUCAAAGCCAGUCGUGAUGGGGAUAGAUGAUUGUAAUUAUUCGUCUUGAACGAGGAAUUCCUAGUAAGUGUGAGUCAUCAGCUCGCGCUGAUUGCGUCCCUGCCCUUUGUACACACCGCCCGUCGCUCCUACCGAUUGAAUGGUCCGGUGAGAACGUCGGAUCACGCGCGCGACGCUGGUUCGCCAGCGACAUGCGCGAGAGAAGUUGUUCAAACCUUACCAUUUAGAGGAAGGAGAAGUCGUAACAAGGU